This 43-nucleotide transfer RNA is filed under the name Iberesia sp. CRBAMM000136. RNAcentral describes it as "tRNA-Leu". Lineage: Eukaryota; Metazoa; Arthropoda; Arachnida; Araneae; Nemesiidae. The record is from RNAcentral.
UUAAUUGGCAGAACACUGCAUUAGAAUUAGAAUCUUAUCACCC